RNAcentral lists this long non-coding RNA (1389 nucleotides) under Lonchura striata (white-rumped munia). Its description in RNAcentral is "domestica (Bengalese finch) lncRNA (ENSLSDG00000003059.1)". Lineage: Eukaryota; Metazoa; Chordata; Aves; Passeriformes; Estrildidae. The record is from RNAcentral.
GGGACGGCGGCGAGCCCGGCCGGGCCGCCCUGAUGCGCGCCCCUCCUGCAGGGCCACGUGCUGAGGGAAGCACCGCGAGCCGCCUCACUCCGGGCGAGCCCUUAGCAAAGGAGCAACACGAGCGCCCGGCGGGAUCAGCAGCAGCAGCAGCAACAACAACAAGGGCACCGGGAGGGCUUCCCUCCUUCCUUCUCGGUGAUUUCCCAGGUGAGCAGCACCGGCUGCUGCGGGCAGCCCCCUCCUUCCUGCCCGCCGCUCAUUCCCUGUCACCGGCACCAGCUGACAGCCGCGCCGGGGCGGCGGGGCUCGGGUGCGGGGCGCCGCGGGGCUGGGGUCGGGCGCGGCAGGCAGGGCGCUCAGCGGAGCGGGGGGUCUGCGGCCGGCGCUCCGAGUGCCGCCCGGGGCUGCGGGGGUAAAUGGAGGGCAAGGCGGCGGGAGGGCGCCGGCGGGGGAAGCCGGCGGGGCUGUAAAACCGCCGGACCGGUAAGUCACCUCUGUGGCGGCUCCGGGCGCUGGCAGGCACCGGCACCGUCCCCGGGGCACCACGGCCGGCGGCCCUUCCCGCUGAGCCGGCCAGGAGGGGGACACGGCGGGGACAGGCCUUUGUCGGUGACACGCCGUUAGGAAAUGUGGGGAAUACCCGGCUUGUAAGUGUAUGCAGAUGAGGAGAAGGCUGCCUUGCGUAAUCCCCUCCUGCGGCGGGGAAUGGGCAUGGUCACCGCCGGGGAGAGGCGCCCGCGGGGGGGCCGGCCCGACGGGGCACUCACCGCGGCCUCCGGCGCCCCGGGAGCGGAUGGGGGGGCACCAAGGCGGGGGGGGCCCGGGGCCACCCGGCGCGGCGGAGGGCAGGGCGCUGGAGGUGGCGGAGGGAGGGGAUGUGCCGCGGCUGCCAGCGCGGCCCCGCGGGGGUGCCGGACACGGGGGAAGUGCGUGUGUGUGCGGGGACACCCGGCACCGCGCCGGGUGCGUGUGCGAGAGUGCGUGUGCGCGCUGCGCCGCGGUGACUGUUCCCUGAAGUGGGUGGGACGUUGGCCCGUUCCGGGAAUGUUCCAUGACGUGUAAACGCCACAGGAAGGGGGUUAACGAGGGGCUCGGCCGGGGCCGCCGCCGGGUCCCUCCCUUUCUCCCUCCCUCCGUCCCCCCGCCCGCCGGCGGGGCUGCCGCGGGGGCCGGCGGGGGCACGAUCCCUUAUGUAAUGCGGGGUACGUGUGCGGCCGGCGGGGAUUAUGUAAGCGGCACAUCCGCGCCUGUCGCAUAGGAUAUCGCAUAGGAUACACCACCGAGCUCCCGCCGGGAGGCGGGCAGGGGCGGCGAGCUGCCCCGCCGUGUCCCCGCCGUGUCCCCGCCGUGUCCCCGCCGUCGGGGUCAAGCGGCGCGGGGGAGGCGGGG